AACGCAACUUGCGCCUUUUGGUAUUCCGAAAGGCAUGCCUGUUUGAGUGUCAUAUAAACCUCACCUCUACUGUUUUUCAUUAGACAUGUGGACUGGUGCUUUGGGCGUCUGCCGUUUACUCUGGCUCGCCUUAAAUGUCUAAGUGGAAUGCGUAAUAAGUCUUCGCAACCCUCCACUCUAAUACAAACUUUUAUAUUCUGACCUCAAAUCAGGUAGGACUACCCGCUGAACUUAA
Molecule: unclassified non-coding RNA, 235 nt
Filed under: uncultured fungus
Lineage: Eukaryota; Fungi
Description: partial contains 5.8S rRNA and ITS2
Rfam family: 5.8S ribosomal RNA (bases 1-52)
Source: RNAcentral